UACGGGGGGGGCAAGCGUUGUUCGGAAUUACUGGGCGUAAAGGGCUCGUAGGCGGCCAACUAAGUCAUACGUGAAAUCCCUCGGCUUAACCGGGGAACUGCGUCUGAUACUGGAUGGCUUGAGUUCGGGAGAGGGAUGCGGAAUUCCAGGUGUAGCGGUGAAAUGCGUAGAUAUUCGGAAGAACACCAGUGGCGAAGGCGACUCGCUGGACAGACAUUGACGCUGAGGUGCGAAAGCGUGGGGAGCAAACAGG
This 253-nucleotide ribosomal RNA is filed under the name uncultured bacterium. RNAcentral's name for it is "partial 16S ribosomal RNA". It matches the Rfam family "Bacterial small subunit ribosomal RNA", at positions 524 to 776 of the family's 1533-position model. The record is from RNAcentral.